This 975-nucleotide ribosomal RNA is filed under the name Capulatispora sagittiformis. RNAcentral's name for it is "SSU rRNA". It matches the Rfam family "Eukaryotic small subunit ribosomal RNA", at positions 102 to 1086 of the family's 1831-position model. Lineage: Eukaryota; Fungi; Ascomycota; Dothideomycetes; Pleosporales; Lophiostomataceae. The record is from RNAcentral.
UAAAUCAGUUAUCGUUUAUUUGAUAGUACCUUACUACUUGGAUAACCGUGGUAAUUCUAGAGCUAAUACAUGCUGAAAACCCUAACUUCGGAAAGGGUGUAUUUAUUAGAUAAAAAACCAAUGCCCUUUGGGCUCUUUGGUGAUUCAUGAUAACUUAACGGAUCGCAUGGCCUUGCGCCGGCGACGGUUCAUUCAAAUUUCUGCCCUAUCAACUUUCGAUGGUAAGGUAUUGGCUUACCAUGGUUUCAACGGGUAACGGGGAAUUAGGGUUCGAUUCCGGAGAGGGAGCCUGAGAAACGGCUACCACAUCCAAGGAAGGCAGCAGGCGCGCAAAUUACCCAAUCCCGACACGGGGAGGUAGUGACAAUAAAUACUGAUACAGGGCUCUUUUGGGUCUUGUAAUCGGAAUGAGUACAAUUUAAACCUCUUAACGAGGAACAAUUGGAGGGCAAGUCUGGUGCCAGCAGCCGCGGUAAUUCCAGCUCCAAUAGCGUAUAUUAAAGUUGUUGCAGUUAAAAAGCUCGUAGUUGAAUCUUGGGCCUGGCUGGCCGGUCCGCCUCACCGCGUGUACUGGUCUGGCCGGGCCUUUCCUUCUGGAGAACCUCAUGCCCUUCAGUGGGUGUGCUGGGGAACCAGGACUUUUACUUUGAAAAAAUUAGAGUGUUCAAAGCAGGCCUUUGCUCGAAUACGUUAGCAUGGAAUAAUAGAAUAGGACGUGCGGUCCUAUUUUGUUGGUUUCUAGGACCGCCGUAAUGAUUAAUAGGGAUAGUCGGGGGCAUCAGUAUUCAAUUGUCAGAGGUGAAAUUCUUGGAUUUAUUGAAGACUAACUACUGCGAAAGCAUUUGCCAAGGAUGUUUUCAUUAAUCAGUGAACGAAAGUUAGGGGAUCGAAGACGAUCAGAUACCGUCGUAGUCUUAACCGUAAACUAUGCCGACUAGGGAUCGGGCGAUGUUUCUAUAUUGACUCGCUCGGCAC